UACGGGGGGGGCAAGCGUUGUUCGGAAUUACUGGGCGUAAAGGGUCUGUAGGUGGCUCGCUAAGUCAGACGUGAAAUCCCUCAGCUUAACUGGGGAACUGCGUCUGAGACUGGCAAGCUUGAGUGCAGGAGAGGAACGCGGAAUUCCAGGUGUAGCGGUGAAAUGCGUAGAUAUCUGGAGGAACACCGGUGGCGAAGGCGGCGACCUGGUCCGAUACUGACGCUCAGGCGCGAAAGCGUGGGGAGCAAACAGG
RNAcentral lists this ribosomal RNA (253 nucleotides) under uncultured bacterium. RNAcentral describes it as "partial 16S ribosomal RNA". It matches the Rfam family "Bacterial small subunit ribosomal RNA", at positions 524 to 776 of the family's 1533-position model. The record is from RNAcentral.